CUUCCGCUUCUGCUGUCUUGAUGACGCACAGUGCUGGCGCAAGUCGUCUUGCGCCAGGCGACUGGGUCUGAGGAGGCAGGAGUUAUUCAUUCCCUUAAGCUUUCAGGCCGGGGGGAGAAUCUUUCAGGUGGUAGCUGCAAGAACUCUUAGUAUGUUGACCUCACCUCUGCCUUCCACAUACCACUACCAGUGAGGAAUUAGGAAUGCAUGAGAAGAGUGUCCAAGAAGAGUGUCCUCAUUCAUGCAAGGCUUAAGAGAGAAUGCAGGUCAACAUCACCAUGUCAAUCAGAGAAUACUUCUGUUGGGUUGAAUGACUCUCUGCCCCCAGUCUGACUGGUUGGAAGAGGCCCUUUUCCCAGCCUUUGUCUUUCAGAGUGACUAACCAUACCAGUUUGACCAAGACUGUAUUGGCUGCAGCACUUAAAAGCUCACAUCCCGGAAAUCCUUUGGUCCUCGGUGAAUUGGGAUGGUUGGUUACCCUAUUACUGAUGAUUGUAAUUCUCAGGAAAGAGAUCUUCAUGUAAACAGAGUCCCUCUUAUUGGCUGAAGUGAAGAGUCAUUCUGAG
RNAcentral lists this long non-coding RNA (566 nucleotides) under Homo sapiens (human). Its description in RNAcentral is "non-protein coding LINC01524:8". The record is from RNAcentral. Lineage: Eukaryota; Metazoa; Chordata; Mammalia; Primates; Hominidae.